Molecule: transfer RNA, 72 nt
Filed under: Camelus bactrianus (Bactrian camel)
Lineage: Eukaryota; Metazoa; Chordata; Mammalia; Artiodactyla; Camelidae
Also listed under: 1 other name
Rfam family: tRNA
About the family: Transfer RNA (tRNA) molecules are approximately 80 nucleotides in length. Their secondary structure includes four short double-helical elements and three loops (D, anti-codon, and T loops). Further hydrogen bonds mediate the characteristic L-shaped molecular structure. tRNAs have two regions of fundamental functional importance: the anti-codon, which is responsible for specific mRNA codon recognition, and the 3' end, to which the tRNAs corresponding amino acid is attached (by aminoacyl-tRNA synthetases). tRNAs cope with the degeneracy of the genetic code in two manners: having more than one tRNA (with a specific anti-codon) for a particular amino acid; and 'wobble' base-pairing, i.e. permitting non-standard base-pairing at the 3rd anti-codon position.
Source: Rfam by way of RNAcentral
GAGGGUAUAGCUCAGGGUUAGAGCACGUGCCUAGCACGCAUGAAGCCCUGGGUUCAUUCCCCAGUACCUCCA